CUGCUGUGUCAUGCAAGUCACCAGGGAAGUGGGUAAAAGCUGGCAAUUAUAGGCCUCAUGCAGCCCAAAAGGCUGGUUUCACUUUCACUUUGCUCCCUCAACGGCACCAAGUUUAGUUCCAGGCAGUGGGUGAGCAGGGCUAAGAAACUGCCCCAGAAUACCAGCCUCCCAGCUGAGAAAGCAAGAAGGGCUUUUAGGUUUCACCUCUUCCCACCUGCCAUGGCUACUGUGCUGUGUCUGCAGUCCUGAUUCAUCCCCUCCCCUAAUUUCUGUUAGGGAAACUUUGCUUUUGGUCAAAAUUAUUGCAAAGUUUAGCUGGAAUUUUCCUUCUCUGUGUGGUCUUUCCCCCGUUCCCCUGGCAGCCCUCCCCAAGGACUUCUGUGAGACAAAGUCAGAAAUGACUUCCCUGGGGACUGAUAGCCCACAGGGCUCUUCCCACUGCUUCUUCCACCCCUAUAUUUCACUCAGCUCUCUAAAUUUGUCUCAGCUCCAGGAAGGCAGGAAUUUCAGCCUGGGCAACAAGUCUGCAGUACAUCAGAUUUCUGAAGAUGUGUGGGAUACAUGAUAGUUAAAUAGAAAUCCUUUCACUAUAGUUCCUGCUUCCCCAUCUUCAAAAUGAUUCCCUGAAGACUUCUACCUUGAAGGUCUAAAGCCUAA
Non-coding RNA from Saimiri boliviensis boliviensis (Bolivian squirrel monkey), 657 nucleotides. Lineage: Eukaryota; Metazoa; Chordata; Mammalia; Primates; Cebidae. The record is from RefSeq and is a predicted model, not a curated record.